CAAACGACUCUCGGCAAUGGAUAUCUCGGCUCAUGCAUCGAUGAAGAACGUAGUGAAAUGCGAUACUUGGUGUGAAUUGCAGAAUCUCGUGAACCAUUGAGUCUUUGAACGCAAGUUGUGCCCGAGGCCUUGUGGCCGAGGGCACGCCUGCUUGGGUGUCAUGG
Molecule: ribosomal RNA, 164 nt
Filed under: Zingiber ottensii
Lineage: Eukaryota; Viridiplantae; Streptophyta; Magnoliopsida; Zingiberales; Zingiberaceae
Description: 5.8S ribosomal RNA
Rfam family: 5.8S ribosomal RNA
About the family: 5.8S ribosomal RNA (5.8S rRNA) is a component of the large subunit of the eukaryotic ribosome.
Source: RNAcentral